RNAcentral lists this ribosomal RNA (587 nucleotides) under uncultured bacterium. RNAcentral describes it as "bacterial SSU rRNA". It matches the Rfam family "Bacterial small subunit ribosomal RNA", at positions 338 to 916 of the family's 1533-position model. The record is from RNAcentral.
CCUACGGGAGGCAGCAGUAGGGAAUCUUCCGCAAUGGACGAAAGUCUGACGGAGCAACGCCGCGUGAGCGAAGAAGGCCUUCGGGUCGUAAAGCUCUGUUGUUAGGGAAGAACAAGUACGAGAGUAACUGCUCGUACCUUGACGGUACCUAACCAGAAAGCCACGGCUAACUACGUGCCAGCAGCCGCGGUAAUACGUAGGUGGCAAGCGUUGUCCGGAAUUAUUGGGCGUAAAGCGCGCGCAGGCGGUCCUUUAAGUCUGAUGUGAAAGCCCACGGCUCAACCGUGGAGGGUCAUUGGAAACUGGGGGACUUGAGUACUGAAGAGGAAAGUGGAAUUCCACGUGUAGCGGUGAAAUGCGUAGAGAUGUGGAGGAACACCAGUGGCGAAGGCGACUUUCUGGUCAGUAACUGACGCUGAGGCGCGAAAGCGUGGGGAGCAAACAGGAUUAGAUACCCUGGUAGUCCACGCCGUAAACGAUGAGUGCUAAGUGUUAGGGGGUUUCCGCCCCUUAGUGCUGCAGCUAACGCAUUAAGCACUCCGCCUGGGGAGUACGGCCGCAAGGCUGAAACUCAAAGGAAUUGACGG